This 208-nucleotide ribosomal RNA is filed under the name uncultured bacterium. Its description in RNAcentral is "partial 16S ribosomal RNA". It matches the Rfam family "Bacterial small subunit ribosomal RNA", at positions 568 to 774 of the family's 1533-position model. The record is from RNAcentral.
CUCGUAGGCGGUUCGUCGCGUCCGGUGUGAAAGUCCAUCGCUUAAACGGUGGAUCUGCGCCGGGUACGGGCGGGCUGGAGUGCGGUAGGGGAGACUGGAAUUCCCGGUGUAACGGUGGAAUGUGUAGAUAUCGGGAAGAACACCAAUGGCGAAGGCAGGUCUCUGGGCCGUUACUGACGCUGAGGAGCGAAAGCGUGGGGAGCGAACA